Molecule: long non-coding RNA, 1935 nt
Organism: Cyprinus carpio (common carp)
Lineage: Eukaryota; Metazoa; Chordata; Actinopteri; Cypriniformes; Cyprinidae
Source: Ensembl
GUUACGUAAAGUAUUGGUAAUUUUUGGUAAUUCCGUGACUUACCAAUUGACAACGUAACUACGACGUCGCAUGCCCGUGAUUUUGUUACCCUCCCAUUACCAACUCACAACGUCGUCAGUACGUCCUUCCAACGUGACCAGAUAACCAAGACCGUCUCAGACAGGUUCUCUAUUCGUAAUAUAUUGGUAACUUCAUGACUUACUGGCAACGUAACUACAACGUCGUAUGCACGUAAUUUCAUUACCAUAACUUUUGUACAUUCUUUAUAUGCUCUCUGAGUAUAGUGAUAUUUAAAAAGUGUAAUUAAACUUCAGGCACAAGAUUAAACGUUCCUUAAAGAUAAAAUGUGUUUCUUUUCACCAAGUCAGAAUAUGGACAUGUUUUAAUAUAUAGUGACGUGACAUACAGCGCGCGCGCUUCCACAGCUGACACACCGCGGCGCGCGCACAGACAAGAAAGGAAAUACAUUUUUCGGAGUUGUGAAACUUUCUAUUUCGUAAGGAGUUAUGAACGUGAAAUAAUGACACAGACUGGCUACACCAUCUCAUCUGCCGCAGAUACUGUAUCAGGAGGACAGCGCGUUUGUUUGAGGCACUUUUCACUUCAACUGUGUCUGACGGGAGAAUUAGCUUUUCUGAGCUUACUAGCCGUUGAGAGUUACCAUGGCAACCACGGGCACGUCAUCAGCUGCUGGAGAGGAGAGGACGCGUCUGACACUUUCUCUGUUUCUCGUCAGUUAUACCAAAGAAAAGUUCAACAACUGCGACAGAUUGUUUGUUUAUUUCUAAUAAGGAGCUGGAGGCCGUGGAGAAGCAGAUCCAUGACCUCGUGGAGAAGCAGAUCCGUGACCUCGUGGAGAAGCAGAUCCGUGACCUCGUGGAGAAGCAGAUCCGUGACCUCGUGGAGAAGCAGAUCCGUGACCUCGUGGAGAAGCAGAUCCGUGACCUCGUGGAGAAGCAGAUCCGUGACCUCGUGGAGAAGCAGAUCCGUGACCUCGUGGAGAAGCAGAUCCGUGACCUCGUGGAGAAGCAGGUCCGUGACCUCGUGGAGAAGCAGAUCCGUGACCUCGUGGAGAAGCAGGCUCAGCUGAGAGAGCGGAGAGCCGUGCUGGAAACAUUCAGGGGUUGACGCUCAUAAGUCCGGGGUAAGUAUACAGCACGCUGCUAACUCUCCCACCCCCUCUACUCUGUGUGGUUCUCUGCACAGGCCCGGUGUACCCAGGACGCAAUCUUCCCAGAUGUCCUUCACCCCGUGUCACAGCGGAAGACAUGAGCCAGGUCCUGGGCGACAGCCUCCACCAGAAACCGAUUUGCUCCACUUCGCGAGACAGAACACGAUGCUGUGAUCGUCGGAGACUCCGUCGUCCGGCACGUUCGUGCUAUGUUAGCUGGAGGUAAUGUGCACACUCACUGUUUCCCUGGUGCUCGUGUUCUUGAUAUUUCUGCGCAGAUACCCGCGAUCCUGAAGGGUGAAGAGAGCAUCGGAGCGGUCGUGCUUCACGCCGGGGUUAACGACACCAAGCUGCGGCAGACGCAGACACUAAAGAGGGACUUCAGGAGCCUGAUCGAGACGGUGCGCAGCAUAUCGCCUGCACGAUGAUCAUCAUGUCAGGACCGAUUCCCAUGUAUCGAUGAGGACACGAAAGGUUCAGUAGACUUUUUGCUCUAAAUGAAUGGUUAUUGUCAUGGUGUAAAGAACAGAAACUGCUCUUUGUUAAUAAUUGGAAUCUUUUCUGGGAGCGACCUAGGCUUUUUCGCGCUGAUGGCCUGCACCCCAGCAGAGUCGGAGCAGAACUGCUGUCAGACAACAUCUCCAGGACUCUACACUCCAUUUGACUAGUAAGCCAAUUCUCAAAUAACUGCUAUGAUGGCUUUUGUUCUACCCACUUAAAUAGUACUUGUGCUGUCCAAUCAAUAAAGACUGUAUAUGUUCCA